UGCUUAAUACAUGCAAGUCGUGCGAGAAAGUUACCUUCGGGUAGCAAGUAGAGCGGCGAACGGGUGAGUAACACGUAAGCAACCUACCUCUAAAUCUGGGAUAACCUUGCCAACGCGGGGCUAAUACCGGAUGUUGUUCUUGUACCUCAUGGUAUAAGAAUUAAAGAUGACCUCUUCUUGAAAGUUAUUGUUUAGAGAUGGACUUGCGUACCAUUAGUUUGUUGGUGGGGUAAUGGCCUACCAAGACUACGAUGGUUAGCCGACCUGAGAGGGUGAUCGGCCACAUUGGGACUGAGAUACGGCCCAGACUCCUACGGGAGGCAGCAGUAGGGAAUCUUGCGCAAUGGACGAAAGUCUGACGCAGCAACUCCGCGUGAAGGAUGACGGCCUUAGGGUUGUAAACUUCUGUUGAAUGGGAAGAAUGACUUUUGUGCUAAUACCACAAAGACUUGACGGUACCAUUUUAGAAAGCUCCGGCUAACUACGUGCCAGCAGCCGCGGUAAUACGUAGGGAGCAAGCGUUGUUCGGAAUCACUGGGCGUAAAGCGAAUGUAGGCGGGAUUGUAAGUUAGAAGUGAAAUGUAUCGGCUCAACCGGUAAUCUGCUUUUAAUACUGCAGUUCUUGAGUAUGGAAGAGGAAGAUGGAAUUUCAGGUGUAGCGGUGGAAUGCGUAGAUAUCUGAAAGAACACCAGUUGCGAAGGCGGUCUUCUGGUCCAAUACUGACGCUGAGGUUCGAAAGCUAAGGGAGCGAACAGGAUUAGAUACCCUGGUAGUCUUAGCCGUAAACGAUGGAUACUAGUUGUUGGGGUUGUUAUGACUUCAGUGACGAAGCUAACGCAUUAAGUAUCCCGCCUGGGGAGUACGCUCGCAAGAGUGAAACUCAAAGGAAUUGACGGGGGCCCGCACAAGCGGUGGAGCAUGUGCUUUAAUUCGAUGCAACGCGAAGAACCUUACCUGGUCUUGACAUGUGAAUGAUAGACUUUAGAGAUAGAGUAAUUUCCUUCGGGAACAUUCAACACAGGUGCUGCAUGGUUGUCGUCAGCUCGUGUCGUGAGAUGUUGGGUUAAGUCCCGCAACGAGCGCAACCCCUAUCCUUAGUUGCCAUCAGGUAAUGCUGGGAACUCUAGGGAGACUGCCUGGUUUAACCAGGAGGAAGGUGGGGAUGACGUCAAAUCAUCAUGGCCCUUACGACCAGGGCUA
This 1201-nucleotide ribosomal RNA is filed under the name uncultured prokaryote. RNAcentral's name for it is "partial 16S ribosomal RNA". It matches the Rfam family "Bacterial small subunit ribosomal RNA", at positions 45 to 1216 of the family's 1533-position model. The record is from RNAcentral.